GAUGAACGCUGGCGGCGUGCCUAAUACAUGCAAGUCGAGCCCACGGACGAGAAGCUUGCUUCUCUGAUGUUAGCGGCGGACGGGUGAGUAACACGUGGAUAACCUACCUAUAAGACUGGGAUAACUUCGGGAAAGCGGCGCUAAUACCGGAUAAUAUUUUGAACCGCAUGGUUCAAAAGUGAAAGACGGUCUUGCUGUCACUUAUAGAUGGAUCCGCGCUGCAUUUGCUAGUUGGUAAGGUCACGGCUGACCAAGGCAACGAUGCAUAGCCGGCCUGAGAGGGUGAACGGCCACACUGGAACUGAGACACGGUCCAGACGCCUACGGGAGGCAGCAGUAGGGAAUGUUCCGCAAUGGGCGAAAGCCUGACGGAGCAAAGCCGCGGGAGUGAUGAAGGGCUUCGGAUCGUAAAACUCGGUUAUUAGGGAAGAACAUGUUUGUGAGGAACUGAUCACAUCUUGAGGGUACCUAAUCAGAGAGCCGCGGGUAAAUAAGUG
Molecule: ribosomal RNA, 497 nt
Filed under: uncultured bacterium
Lineage: Bacteria
Description: partial 16S ribosomal RNA
Rfam family: Bacterial small subunit ribosomal RNA
Source: RNAcentral